ACAGCGAAACUGCGAAUGGCUCAUUAUAUAAGUUAUCGUUUAUUUGAUAGAUACCUUACUACUUGGAUAACCGUGGUAAUUCUAGAGCUAAUACAUGCUAAAAAUCCCGACUUCGGAAGGGAUGUAUUUAUUAGAUUAAAAACCAAUGCCCUCUGGGCUCCUUGGUGAUUCAUGAUAACUUCUCGAAUCGCACGGCCUUGCGCCGGCGAUGGUUCAUUCAAAUUUCUUCCCUAUCAACUUUCGAUGUUUGGGUAGUGGCCAAACAUGGUUGCAACGGGUAACGCGAGGGUUAGGGCUCGACCCCGGAGAAGGAGCCUGAGAAACGGCUACUACAUCCAAGGAAGGCAGCAGGCGCGCAAAUUACCCAAUCCCGAUUCGGGGAGGUAGUGACAAUAAAUACUGAUACAGGGCUCUUUUGGGUCUUGUAAUUGGAAUGAGUACAAUUUAAAUCCCUUAACGAGGAACAAUUGGAGGGCAAGUCUGGUGCCAGCAGCCGCGGUAAUUCCAGCUCCAAUAGCGUAUAUUAAAGUUGUUGUGGUUAAAAAGCUCGUAGUUGAACCUUGGGCCUGGCUGGCCGGUCCGCCUCACCGCGUGUACUGGUCCGGCCGGGCCUUUCCCUCUGUGGAACCCCAUGCCCUUCACUGGGCGUGGCGGGGAAACAGGACUUUUACUUUGAAAAAAUUAGAGUGCUCCAGGCAGGCCUAUGCUCGAAUACAUUAGCAUGGAAUAAUGAMAUAGGACGUGCGGUUCUAUUUUVUUGGUUCUAGGACCGCGUAAUGAUUAAUAGGGACAGUCGGGGGCAUCARUAUUCA
Molecule: ribosomal RNA, 812 nt
Filed under: Marquandomyces marquandii
Lineage: Eukaryota; Fungi; Ascomycota; Sordariomycetes; Hypocreales; Clavicipitaceae
Description: SSU rRNA
Rfam family: Eukaryotic small subunit ribosomal RNA
Source: RNAcentral